GGGGAUUUAGCUCAGCGACAUAAGCGCCUGCCUUGCAAGCAGGUGGUCGUGAGUUCGAUCCCCA
This 64-nucleotide transfer RNA is filed under the name Cavia porcellus (domestic guinea pig). It matches the Rfam family "tRNA", at positions 1 to 62 of the family's 71-position model. Rfam says of the family: Transfer RNA (tRNA) molecules are approximately 80 nucleotides in length. Their secondary structure includes four short double-helical elements and three loops (D, anti-codon, and T loops). Lineage: Eukaryota; Metazoa; Chordata; Mammalia; Rodentia; Caviidae. The record is from Rfam by way of RNAcentral.